UGUGCCGCUUGCGAGGGCGUAUGGUGGAUGCCUUGGCAGACAGUACCGAUGAAGGACGUUUGAGGAUGCGAUAAUCCUAGGGGAGCCUCCAACAUGGCUUUGAUCCUAGGGUCUCCGAAUGGGGGAACCCGCCGGCCGUCAUGGGCCGGCACCGCCUAUGGGCGGGGGGUACGCAGGGAAGUGAAACAUCUCAGUACCUGCAGGAAGGGAUACUCCGUGAGUAGUGGCGAGCGAAAGCGGAUCAGACCAAACCGGUUGCGCGUGAUACCCGUCGGGGGUUGCGUUUCCGGUGUUGUGGGAUCACGUGUCCCGGUUCCGACGGGCCGGGCGGGAGUCAUAAAACGGCUUGCCAGGGGAACAGGCUUGAAGGCCUGGCCGUAGAGGGUGCCAGCCCCGUACCUGGACGUGAGCCGUCUUCCGAUCGUGUUGUCCCAAGUAGCGCGGGCCUCGUGGAAUCCCGCGUGAAUCAGCCCAGACCGUUGGGUAAGUCUAAGCAUACCUGUCUGACCGAUAGCGUACCAGUACCGUGAGGGAAAGGUGAAAAGCACCCCGGGAGGGGAGUGAAACAGUUCCUGAAACCGUGCGCCCACAAACCGUCGGAGCCUCCUUGUGGGGUGACGGCGUGCCUAUCGAAAAAUGAGUCUGCGAGUCAGUGGCGGGUGGCGAGCAUAAGCCGUGUGGCGUAUGCGUAGCGAAAGCGAGUCUUAAAAGGCGUUUUUAGUCGCUUGUCCUGGACCCGAAGCGGGAUGAUCUAGCCCUGGGCAGGUUGAAGCGCGGGUAAGACCGCGUGGAGGACCGAACCCACCUGGGUUGAAAACCGGGGGGAUGACCUGGGGCUAGGGGUGAAAGGCCAAUCAAAUUCCGUGAUAGCUGGUUCUCUCCGAAAUGCAUUUAGGUGCAGCGUCGGUCGAUUGCGUCGCGGGGGUAGAGCUACCGGAUGCUUGCGGGCCCUUGUUGGGUACCAACAGCAGCCGAACUCCGAAUACCGUUGACGUGUAUUCCGGCAGUGAGUCGGCGGGGGAUAAGCUCCGUCGUCGAGAGGGAGACAGCCCAGACCGUCGUCUAAGGUCCCGAAGCGUGUGCUAAGUGGGAAAGGAUGUGGAGUCGCAUAGACAGCCAGGAGGUUGGCUCAGAAGCAGCCAUCCUUGAAAGAGUGCGUAACAGCUCACUGGUCUAGUGGUUCCGCGCCGACAAUGUAGCGGGGCUCAAGCACACCACCGAAGACGCGGCAGCAAUCUUCAUGGUUGCUGGGUAGGAGAGCGUCCUGCGAGGGGCGAAGCGGCGGUGGAAACCGGCCGUGGACUUCGUGGGAGUGAGAAUGCAGACAUGAGUAGCGAGAGACGGGUGAGGAUCCCGUCCGCUGGAUGACCAAGGGUUCCGGGGCCACGUUCGUCGUCCCCGGGUGAGUCGGGUCCUAAGGCGAGGCCGACAGGCGUAGUCGAAUGGAUGAACGGGUGGAUAUUCCCGUACCGACCAUGGACCGGCAAAACCGAGACGGUGAGUACUAACCUCCGCCUCGUGGUGGUUCCUUCCUUCGGGUUGGUAUCGCCGCGUGGUGUUGGGAGCGUAGCCGCAGUAGGUCAGCGCAGGGGUGACACGGAAUGGGAGCCGGCCGCGGAGGUGGUUUUCCGUGGUCAAGCACGCAGCCAGUCAUGUAGGCAAAUCCGCAUGGCGCGCAUGGCGAGGUGUGAUGAUGGGAGCCGUUAUGGCUCGAUAUCCGGUUGUCCAGGCCGUCGAGAAAAGCCUCGGCGUGAGGGCCAUGGCCGCCCGUACCCCAAACCGACACUGGUGGUCAGGUAGAGAAUACCAAGGCGAUCGAGCGAAUCCUGGUCAAGGAACUCGGCAAAUCACUCCCGUGCCUUCGGUAUAAGGGAGACCCACUGGGGUGAAGGACCUUGCGUCCGGAGCUUUGGUGGGUGGCACAGACCAGGGGGUAGCGACUGUUUACCAAAAACACAGGUGCAUGCGAAGGCGAAAGCCGCUGUAUAUGCACUGACGCCUGCCCGGUGCCGGAAGGUUAAGAGGAUCCGUCAAUCCCUUCGGGGACGAAGCGGUGAAUUCAAGCCCCGGUAAACGGCGGUGGUAACUAUAACCAUCCUAAGGUAGCGAAAUUCCUUGUCGGGUAAGUUCCGACCUGCACGAAUGGCGUAACGACUUCCCCACUGUCUCGACCAGGAGCUCGGCGAAAUUGCAGUACGAGUAAAGAUGCUCGUUAAGCGCAGAAGGACGAAAAGACCCCGGGACCUUUACUAUACCUUGGUAUUGGCGUUAGGCGCGGAUUGUGUAGCAUAGGCGGGAGGCUUCGAAGCGGGUGCGCCAGCAUUCGUGGAGCCGCAAGGUGAAAUACCGCUCUGUUCUCGUUUGACGUCUAACCUCGACAAGUCAUCCUUGUCAGGGACAGUGCCUGGCGGGUAGUUCAACUGGGGCGGUUGCCUCCCAAAGAGUAACGGAGGCGCUCAAAGGUCCGCUCAGCCCGGUUGGCAAUCGGGUGUCGAGUGUAAUCGCACAAGCGGGCUUGACUGCGAGGACGACGGUCCGAGCAGGGACGAAAGUCGGAGAUAGUGAUCCGGUGCCGGCGCACGGGCGCGGCAUCGCUCAACGGAUAAAAGGUACCCCGGGGAUAACAGGCUGAUCAUUCCCAAGAGUCCAUAUCGACGGGAUGGUUUGGCACCUCGAUGUCGGCUCGUCGCAUCCUGGGGCUGGAGCAGGUCCCAAGGGUUCGGCUGUUCGCCGAUUAAAGCGGCACGCGAGCUGGGUUCAGAACGUCGUGAGACAGUUUGGUCUCUAUCCUCUGCGCUCGUUGGAAUCCUGAGGAGGCCUGCCCAUAGUACGAGAGGACCUGGGUGGACGAACCUCUGGUAUGCCGGUUGUCGCGCCAGCGGCACGGCCGGUUGGCUACGUUCGGGAGGGAUAACCGCUGAAAGCAUCUAAGCGGGAAGCCUGCUCCAAGAUUAGGAUUCCAUGGAUCUUCGAGAUCCUGUAGCCCGCAUGUUGAACACGUGUUUGAUAGGCCGGAGGUGGAAGCCCCGUGAGGGGUGGAGCCGACCGGUACUAACGGGCGAUGGCGACACAACAAUUCCGAU
This 3083-nucleotide ribosomal RNA is filed under the name Bifidobacterium adolescentis. RNAcentral's name for it is "bacterial LSU rRNA". It matches the Rfam family "Bacterial large subunit ribosomal RNA". Lineage: Bacteria; Bacillati; Actinomycetota; Actinomycetes; Bifidobacteriales; Bifidobacteriaceae. The record is from RNAcentral.